GGGAGAAGAGGAAAGCCUGGAGCGGAGAUGGAGAUGGAAGAGGUCAAGAGGACGUCGGCGCCGAGGGGGCGGGCAACAUAAGCGCGAGGUGCGCAGCGGAAAGGGGGACUCCGUCCUGGUAAACGCUCACAGCAGGACUGCUGCGGCGGACAGACUGCUGGACCCACACGGGGCGCCGCCUCUCUCCCUAGGGGAGGUCGCCGGUGUCACGAUCUCCGCUGCUGCUAGGGUGGGGAGGCGAGCCGCCGCGUGCCACCGCUUGGAUGCAACCACUGCCCGCCCCUCAUGGCGUUGCGUGUGCGACGACCGAGCGGCAAGGCUGCCGACCCACUACGCCCAUGGCCGCUGCGCGGGCCGAUGUACUGCUGCGUGCGGCCGGCUCCGCACCCUCCUACCGUCGUUGCGCUCUCCGGCCGCCCCGCAGUCUUUCAGCUCGGCUGAUUGAUGAGCCGUGAUGCCGCCUUCAUCCUGUGUGCUAUUGCUCGCGGAUUGGUCUGCAAGGUCUGAUGCUGUGCGUUGAGAUCGGCAGUCGGGCUACAACGGCAGGUUGUUGUCAACUACGUUUUGGAGGACGAUGUGUUAUCUCCUCUAGAAUACCACUUCAGAAGAAUGUAGAGACCUUCUCUGGAAAAUGGAGGACGAAUUCGACCUUCUUUUCAUAUUUCCUCGGUGUUAUAGGAUUUUCAUCGCUCAUCAUUUGAUUGUUCAGGUAUUUUAUCUCCUUUUCUUUAUAUUUCGAUUGAACAUGUUUCUCUUCCUUUCAUAUUAUUAUGAAUGAGAAGGGGAAAAACUUCAGAAAAUGCUUGCCUGCAUAAGAUGGUCAGCCUGAUCAAAGUUGAAACAACACUUGAAUAAGAAGAUUCCAGCAGUGUUUUGUGAGGUGUGGCAUUUCGGUGAGUCUCUCUUCUUCCUACAUGCCUUCCUCUUCUAGCCCAGCCGACAGGUGCGCUCGGUCAGCUUCUUUGAUAGAUCCCAACAUUUUAUUUUUAUCCUCUGUCAACCUAGAUUUUGUCGCCUACCAUGCUGCGUUGUUCGCUUGUGUGGUCUUCAUCAAUUCUAAAAGUGGUGGCCAGCUAAGAAGUUGUCUGAUAAAAUCAUAACGUGAACUUCUCAAUGAAGCACAGUGCAUCCCCUUAACCAUAUGACCACUUUAAUCUAAUAUUUGAUGACGGCUUACUUCUUACAGGUCUUUUCGUAAGCUUUUUUACAUGAUCUUUUCUCCCAAUAUUAUUGUCACAUUUAUAUGCACAAUGAACUGAUACACAUACCCUUUUCAUCCAAGUGUAGAUGUUGGUACCAGAAACAUGCUGUUUAGCGUGUACAAUUUUUUGAUGAUUUCAAACAUGUUUCUUGGGUUCAAAU
This is a long non-coding RNA of Lolium perenne, 1362 nucleotides long. RefSeq lists it as uncharacterized. The record is from RefSeq and is a predicted model, not a curated record. Lineage: Eukaryota; Viridiplantae; Streptophyta; Magnoliopsida; Poales; Poaceae.